This 490-nucleotide ribosomal RNA is filed under the name uncultured bacterium. RNAcentral describes it as "partial 16S ribosomal RNA". It matches the Rfam family "Bacterial small subunit ribosomal RNA", at positions 30 to 507 of the family's 1533-position model. The record is from RNAcentral.
AUUGAACGCUGGCGGCAGGCCUAACACAUGCAAGUCGAACGGUAACAGGAAGCAGCUUGCUGCUUUGCUGACGAGUGGCGGACGGGUGAGUAAUGUCUGGGAAACUGCCUGAUGGAGGGGGAUAACUACUGGAAACGGUAGCUAAUACCGCAUAACGUCGCAAGACCAAAGAGGGGGACCUUCGGGCCUCUUGCCAUCGGAUGUGCCCAGAUGGGAUCAGCUAGUAGGUGGGGUAACGGCUCACCUAGGCGACGAUCCCUAGCCGGUCUGAGAGGAUGACCAGCCACACUGGAACUGAGACACGGUCCAGACUCCUACGGGAGGCAGCAGUGGGGAAUAUUGCACAAUGGGCGCAAGCCUGAUGCAGCCAUGCCGCGUGUAUGAAGAAGGCCUUCGGGUUGUAAAGUACUUUCAGCGGGGAGGAAGGGAGUAAAGUUAAUACCUUUGCUCAUUGACGUUACCCGCAGAAGAAGCACCGGCUAACUCCGUG